CCUCCUCCUCUCACGGGUCGCUGCGCCGCCGUCUCAGCCGCUUCUCCUGCGCCUUCUCCUCCCCGCUCCUCUCCUCAUAGCUGAGUCCUCGACCAGAUCAGCGUCCAUCUUCAGCGGCGGCGGCAUCUUCAGCGGAGGAGGCGGGUGGUCGUGGCGGCGGCAUCUUCAACAGCGACGCCGGACGAGCUCCACGCGCGGGGGAGAUAUCUCCACGGGCCCACGCAACUACGUUCCCUCGCUGACGUCGGCCUCACAAAGAAGAGGUCUAGUUCGCCCGUGCCGCCGAUGAGGGGGAGCAGCCACGCCCAAAGGAGGUCGUCCCCAAUGCCUGCAUCUAGUCGUCGACCUUAACAACACUGAAGUCGCCGCUGCUAGUCGAGGUCGCCCAGUUAAUACCGGCCCCGCCGUACUGCAGCUCAUCCUGCCCGAGGACAUGAUACGUAUUUGGCAAUGUUGGCUCUUGGGCUGCCCAAUUGAUCACUGAAGCUGGUGGCAAGGUGGUCACCAUCAGAGAUGUCACAGGGGCUGUCAAGAACUCCAAUGACAUUGACAUAGCCAAGAUGAUGAAGCACUCGGCAGAGAACUUCAGGAUCAAGGGCUUUGACGGGGGCGACGCUGUCGACCUGAUCUCGCUGCUCACGGAAGAGUGGGACGUGCUCACCCCGACAGCUCUGGGAGGAGUCAUAAACAAUUUAUCUUCUUCUCCUAGGGACAAUGCUGAUGCCAUCAAAGCAAAGUACAUCAUCGAGGCUGCUAACCACCCAACAGACCCCGAGGCCAACGAG
Long non-coding RNA from Triticum aestivum (bread wheat), 785 nucleotides. RefSeq lists it as uncharacterized. The transcript is spliced from 3 exons. The record is from RefSeq and is a predicted model, not a curated record. Lineage: Eukaryota; Viridiplantae; Streptophyta; Magnoliopsida; Poales; Poaceae.